This 253-nucleotide ribosomal RNA is filed under the name uncultured bacterium. RNAcentral's name for it is "partial 16S ribosomal RNA". It matches the Rfam family "Bacterial small subunit ribosomal RNA", at positions 524 to 776 of the family's 1533-position model. The record is from RNAcentral.
UACGUAGGGUGCGAGCGUUGUCCGGAAUUAUUGGGCGUAAAGGGCUCGUAGGCGGUUUGUUGCGUCGGCUGUGAAAUCCCGAGGCUCAACCUCGGGUCUGCAGUCGAUACGAGCAAACUAGAGUGUUGCAGGGGAGACUGGAAUUCCUGGUGUAGCGGUGAAAUGCGCAGAUAUCAGGAGGAACACCGGUGGCGAAGGCGGGUCUCUGGGCAACAACUGACGCUGAGGAGCGAAAGCGUGGGGAGCGAACAGG